This is a long non-coding RNA of Octodon degus (degu), 247 nucleotides long. RefSeq lists it as uncharacterized. The record is from RefSeq and is a predicted model, not a curated record. The transcript has 3 exons. Lineage: Eukaryota; Metazoa; Chordata; Mammalia; Rodentia; Octodontidae.
CACUCUCAGAACUGUGGGGUUAGUGACAUCCCACGACUGGACCAAACCCAGUCCCAAGAACAAGCCCUGACUACUGUGGCUCCGGGAGAAACUUUCAAGGACCCAUGUGUGGACGCCACUGUUUCCGCUGACCAGCUCCUUCCCAGCAGCCAACAGGGCAAGGAUCCCUGAGCAAGGAGGUCUGCUCUGGAGGGGCUGUACCAUGUCUCCAACGCCCUGAGGACAAGCCGCACAAAAAGGGAAACAC